CCAAGGCUAAAUACUCCUGACUGACCGGUAGUGAACCAGUACCGUGAGGGAAAGGCGAAAAGAACCCCGGCGAGGGGAGUGAAAAAGUACCUGAAGCCGUGUACGUACAAGCAGUGGGAGCACCCUUUAGGGUGUGACUGCGUACCUUUUGUAUAAUGGGUCAGCGACUUAUAUUCUGUUGCAAGGUUAACCGAAUAGGGGGGCCGGGGGGAAACCGAGUCUUAAUUGAGCGUUAAGUUGCAGGGUAUAGACCCGAAACCCGGUGAUCUAGCCAUGGGCAGGUUGAAGGUUGGGUAACACUAACUGGAGGACCGAACCGACUAAUGUUGAAAAAUUAGCGGAUGACCUGUGGCUGGGGGUGAAAGGCCAAUCAAACCGGGAGAUAGCUGGUUCUCCCCGAAAGCUAUUUAGGUAGCGCCUCGUGAAUUCAUCUCCGGGGGUAGAGCACUGUUUCGGCUAGGGGGCCAUCCCGGCUUACCAACCCGAUGCAAACUGCGAAUACCGGAGAAUGUUAUCACGGGAGACACACGGCGGGUGCUAACGUCCGUCGUGAAGAGGGAAACAACCCAGACCGCCAGCUAAGGUCCCAAAGUCAUGGUUAAGUGGGAAACGAUGUGGGAAGGCCCAGACAGCCAGGAUGUUGGCUUAGAAGCAGCCAUCAUUUAAAGAAAGCGUAAUAGCUCACUGGUCGAGUCGGCCUGCGCGGAAGAUGUAACGGGGCUAAACCAUGCACCGAAGCUGCGGCAGCGACGCUGAUGCGUUGUUGGGUAGGGGAGCGUUCUGUAAGCCUGCGAAGGUGGCCUGUGAGGGUUGCUGGAGGUAUCAGAAGUGCGAAUGCUGACAUAAGUAACGAUAAAGCGGGUGAAAAGCCCGCUCGCCGGAAGACCAAGGGUUCCUGUCCAACGUUAAUCGGGGCAGGGUGAGUCGACCCCUAAGGCGAGGCCGAAAGGCGUAGUCGAUGGGAAACGGGUUAAUAUUCCCGUACUUGGUGUUACUGCGAAGGGGGGACGGAGAAGGCUAUGUUGGCCGGGCGACGGUUGUCCCGGUUUAAGCGUGUAGGUGUGUGUUCCAGGUAAAUCCGGUUCACUUUAACACUGAGGCGUGAUGACGAGGCACUACGGUGCUGAAGCAACAAAUGCCCUGCUUCCAGGAAAAGCCUCUAAGCAUCAGGUAACAUCAAAUCGUACCCCAAACCGACACAGGUGGUCAGGUAGAGAAUACCAAGGCGCUUGAGAGAACUCGGGUGAAGGAACUAGGCAAAAUGGUGCCGUAACUUCGGGAGAAGGCACGCUGACACGUAGGUGAAGUGAUUUACUCAUGGAGCUGAAGUCAGUCGAAGAUACCAGCUGGCUGCAACUGUUUAUUAAAAACACAGCACUGUGCAAACACGAAAGUGGACGUAUACGGUGUGACGCCUGCCCGGUGCCGGAAGGUUAAUUGAUGGGGUCAGCGCAAGCGAAGCUCCUGAUCGAAGCCCCGGUAAACGGCGGCCGUAACUAUAACGGUCCUAAGGUAGCGAAAUUCCUUGUCGGGUAAGUUCCGACCUGCACGAAUGGCGUAAUGAUGGCCAGGCUGUCUCCACCCGAGACUCAGUGAAAUUGAACUCGCUGUGAAGAUGCAGUGUACCCGCGGCAAGACGGAAAGACCCCGUGAACCUUUACUAUAGCUUGACACUGAACAUUGAGCCUUGAUGUGUAGGAUAGGUGGGAGGCUUUGAAGUGUGGACGCCAGUCUGCAUGGAGCCGGCCUUGAAAUACCACCCUUUAAUGUUUGAUGUUCUAACGUGGACCCGUGAUCCGGGUUGCGGACAGUGUCUGGUGGGUAGUUUGACUGGGGCGGUCUCCUCCUAAAGAGUAACGGAGGAGCACGAAGGUUGGCUAAUCCUGGUCGGACAUCAGGAGGUUAGUGCAAUGGCAUAAGCCAGCUUGACUGCGAGCGUGACGGCGCGAGCAGGUGCGAAAGCAGGUCAUAGUGAUCCGGUGGUUCUGAAUGGAAGGGCCAUCGCUCAACGGAUAAAAGGUACUCCGGGGAUAACAGGCUGAUACCGCCCAAGAGUUCAUAUCGACGGCGGUGUUUGGCACCUCGAUGUCGGCUCAUCACAUCCUGGGGCUGAAGUAGGUCCCAAGGGUAUGGCUGUUCGCCAUUUAAAGUGGUACGCGAGCUGGGUUUAGAACGUCGUGAGACAGUUCGGUCCCUAUCUGCCGUGGGCGCUGGAGAACUGAGGGGGGCUGCUCCUAGUACGAGAGGACCGGAGUGGACGCAUCACUGGUGUUCGGGUUGUCAUGCCAAUGGCACUGCCCGGUAGCUAAAUGCGGAAGAGAUAAGUGCUGAAAGCAUCUAAGCACGAAACUUGCCCCGAGAUGAGUUCUCCCUGAGACUUAGAGUCUCCUGAAGGAACGUUGAAGACGACGACGUUGAUAGGCCAGGUGCGUAAGCGC
RNAcentral lists this ribosomal RNA (2438 nucleotides) under Salmonella enterica subsp. enterica serovar Schwarzengrund. Its description in RNAcentral is "bacterial LSU rRNA". It matches the Rfam family "Bacterial large subunit ribosomal RNA", at positions 460 to 2876 of the family's 2925-position model. The record is from RNAcentral. Lineage: Bacteria; Pseudomonadati; Pseudomonadota; Gammaproteobacteria; Enterobacterales; Enterobacteriaceae.